AAUAGAUACCCUGGUAGUCCACGCUGUAAACGUUGGGCGCUAGGUGUGGGGGGGCCUCUCCGGUUCCCUGUGCCGCAGCUAACGCAUUAAGCGCCCCGCCUGGGGGAGUACGGCCACAAGGCUAAAACUCAAAGGAAUUGACGGGGGGCCCGCACAAGCGGCGGAGCAUGCGGAUUAAUUCGAUGCAACGCGAAGAACCUUACCUGGGUUUGACAUGGCCGCAAAACUGUCAGAGAUGGCAGGUCCUUCGGGGCGGUCACAGGUGGUGCAUGGCUGUCGUCAGCUCGUGUCGUGAGAUGUUGGGUUAAGUCCCGCAACGAGCGCAACCCUCGUUCGAUGUUGCCAGCGCGUUAUGGCGGGGACUCAUCGAGGACUGCCGGGUCGAACUCGGAGGAAGGUGGGGAUGACGUCAAGUCAUCAUGCCCUUAUGUCCAGGGCUUCACGCAUGCUACAAUGGCCGGUACAAUGGGCUGCGAUACCGUGAGGUGGAGCGAAUCCCGAAAAAGCCGGUCUCAGUUCGGAUCGGGGUCUGCC
RNAcentral lists this ribosomal RNA (534 nucleotides) under uncultured bacterium. RNAcentral's name for it is "bacterial SSU rRNA". It matches the Rfam family "Bacterial small subunit ribosomal RNA", at positions 777 to 1309 of the family's 1533-position model. The record is from RNAcentral.